UUCCAGCUCCAAUAGCGUAUAUUUAAGUUGCUGCAGUUAAAAAGCUCGUAGUUGGAUUCGGGGUGGGGCCUGCCGGUCCGCCGUUCGGUGUGCACUGGCCGGGCCACCUUGUUGCCGGGGACGAGCUCCUGGGCUUUAUUGUCCGGGACUCGGAGUCGGCGAGGUUACUUUGAGUAAAUUAGAGUGUUCAAAGCAGGCCA
RNAcentral lists this ribosomal RNA (200 nucleotides) under uncultured eukaryote. Its description in RNAcentral is "partial 18S ribosomal RNA". It matches the Rfam family "Eukaryotic small subunit ribosomal RNA", at positions 583 to 787 of the family's 1831-position model. The record is from RNAcentral.